Molecule: ribosomal RNA, 326 nt
Filed under: uncultured eukaryote
Lineage: Eukaryota
Description: partial 18S ribosomal RNA
Rfam family: Eukaryotic small subunit ribosomal RNA
Source: RNAcentral
CCCUUAGAUGUCCUGGGCCGCACGCGCGCUACACUGAUGCAUUCAACGAGUUUCACCUUGGCCGAGAGGCCUGGGCAAUCUUUUAAACCUGCAUCGUGAUAGGGAUAGAUUAUUGCAAUUAUUAAUCUUGAACGAGGAAUUCCUAGUAAACGCAAAUCAUCAAUUUGCAUUGAUUACGUCCCUGCCCUUUGUACACACCGCCCGUCGCUCCUACCGAUUGAGUGGUCCGGUGAGGCUUUGGGAUCUGAGCGGAAAGAGCGUUUCGCUGUUUCUGCUCGGAAAACUCAGUCGAACCUUAUCAUUUAGAGGAAGGAGAAGUCGUAACA